GGUUUUUUGUAAUUAAUUUAAGAUCGGACCUGCCCAUUGAUUAAAAAUAUUAAAAGGCUGCGGUAUUUUAACUGUACGAAGGUAGCAUAAUCAUUUGUCUUUUAAUUGGAGGCUAGUAUGAAUGGUUUGAUGAAAUAUAAACUUUCUUUAAAUUAUUUAUUUGAAUUUAAUUUUUUAGUUAAAAAGCUAAAAUUUUUUUAUAGGACGAGAAGACCCUAUAGAAGUUUACUAACUUUAUAAAUUAAUUUUUUUUGUUUAUAAAAUAUUUUUUUAGAAGAUUUAGUUUUGUUGGGGUGACAUUGAAAUUUAUUUAACUUUCAAUAAUUUUUUCAUUAAUUUAUGUUUUUUUGAUCCAGAAUUUUUGAUUAUAAGAUUAACUUACCUUAGGGAUAACAGCGUAAUUUCUUUGGAGAGCCCUUAUCGAUAAAGAAGUUUGCGA
This 439-nucleotide ribosomal RNA is filed under the name Ventidius usingeri. RNAcentral's name for it is "partial 16S ribosomal RNA". The record is from RNAcentral. Lineage: Eukaryota; Metazoa; Arthropoda; Insecta; Hemiptera; Gerridae.